RNAcentral lists this ribosomal RNA (493 nucleotides) under uncultured bacterium. RNAcentral's name for it is "partial 16S ribosomal RNA". It matches the Rfam family "Bacterial small subunit ribosomal RNA", at positions 30 to 505 of the family's 1533-position model. The record is from RNAcentral.
UGAACGCUGGCGGCGUGCCUAAUACAUGCAAGUCGAGCGAACAGACGAGGAGCUUGCUCCUCUGACGUUAGCGGCGGACGGGUGAGUAACACAUGGAUAACCUACCUAUAAGACUGGGAUAACUUCGGGAAACCGGAGCUAAUACCGGAUAAUAUAUUGAACCGCAUGGUUCAAUAGUGAAAGACGGUUUUGCUGUCACUUAUAGAUGGAUCCGCGCCGCAUUAGCUAGUUGGUAAGGUAACGGCUUACCAAGGCAACGAUGCGUAGCCGACCUGAGAGGGUGAGGCGCCACAAUGGAACUGAGACACGGUCCACACCCCCGGGGGGGGCAAGAAGAGGGAAUUCUCCCAAAGGGGCGAACGCCUGACGGAGCCACCCCGGGUGAGUUGAGAAGGUUUUCGGCUUGUAAAACUCUUUUUAUAGGGAAAAAAAAAUGGUUAAGGAACUAUGCACGUUUUACCGUUACCAAAACAAAAAGCCCCGGCAAACUCGG